Molecule: non-coding RNA, 26 nt
Filed under: Mus musculus (house mouse)
Lineage: Eukaryota; Metazoa; Chordata; Mammalia; Rodentia; Muridae
Source: RNAcentral
UUGGCCUGCUCUGGACUCUUGAAGUG